Nerophis ophidion (straightnose pipefish) is the source of this 9138-nucleotide RNA transcript. It is a transcript of the gene named myosin phosphatase Rho-interacting protein, with no coding region annotated. The transcript is spliced from 26 exons. Lineage: Eukaryota; Metazoa; Chordata; Actinopteri; Syngnathiformes; Syngnathidae. The record is from RefSeq and is a predicted model, not a curated record.
UGUCUGACCAAAGGCAGCAUUUUGACGAAAACAUCUAACUCGAGCUACGCAGCGCGAAUGCAGACAACUGUGUGACAGCUGCGUCGGUCAGUAGUGGCGUAUUUUUGUAUCUAUUUUUUUUAAAAGUUGGAUAAUGUCCGACCCUGACGCGACGCCGUUACGAAUACGCGACCGCUCGAUAAGAUAGGAACCGGAGAAGGACGAAGAGCACUCCCUCGGUAAGUUGGCGUCGUUCCCCCCGCGAUGGAGGCAGACGCGACCCUUAGCAGCGAGCUCGAGGACCGCAGUGUCACCAGCGUCAUGUCGACGCCUCUUUGAGCAAUUAACUACCAGGAAAAUUGCGCACACCUGCCCGCGCUAGUCGUCAACUUUUAAGCGAGAGAAAAAGUUCGCAUACAAAAUGACCAUAACUUAAAGAGCACGUCCACCCGGAGCUCUACAGAGUUCUACCAGCCUACAAACAUAAGACUUUUUUCAUCAUUCUUUGAGCAACAUGUCACUCAAAGAGAACCCCUGUCGCAAGUUCCAAGCCAACAUUUUCAACAAGAGCAAGUGUCAGAACUGUUUUAAGCCCCGGGAGUCGCACCUGCUCAACGACGAAGACCUCAACCAGGCAAAACCUAUUUAUGGCGGAUGGCUGCUCCUUGCACCAGAGGGAACCAAUUUUGACAAUCCUUUGCACCGAUCUCGGAAAUGGCAGAGAAGGUUCUUCAUUCUGUAUGAACAUGGCAUACUUCGUUAUGCUUUGGAUGAAAUGCCGAGUACUCUUCCCCAGGGCACCAUAAAUAUGAACCAGUGCUCUGAUGUCAUCGAUGGAGAGUCUAGGACGGGUCAGAAGAACUCCUUGUGUAUUCUGACCCCUGAUAAAGAGCACUUCAUUCGUGCUGAGUGUAAAGAAAUCCUCAACGGUUGGCAGGAAGCUCUGACCGUGUACCCCAGAACAAACAAGCAGAAUCAGAAGAAAAAGCGCAAGGUUGAUCCACCGACUCAGCAGUGUUGUUGUGACCUUGCCUCCCAUUUUGUCCUUUCCUCCUCCCUUCCACUCCUUCCUUCCCAAACCCCUAUCCAGGAGCCGGGUCCCGCCAAGGUGACGGUCACCAGCAGCAGUGGAGGCAGCAUCCCGUGCCUGCCGAGCAGCAUUGCCAGUGCCGAGCGUGUCCCAAUGAGCCGUGCCACUUUAUGGCAAGAGGAGAACCGCUGGAAUCGAGCCACCAUCUCGUGUAGCCGCAGCGCUUCCUGCCUCAGCCAGCUGGGCCAUAGCCAACCGGACUCUACUAUCACUACUCAAGAUGAUGUUGGCACAAUGAGCACUGGACGCAAAGUGCGCGUGGAGAGUGGUUAUUUUUCCCUGGAGAAGACCAAGACGGAUCCCUCGCCACCACCUGCACAGCAUUCACAACCACUGCAGCCACCCCACUAUCUCCCCCUGUCUUCAUCAACAUGUUCUUUAGGAGCUCCCAGUCCCAGGUACAACUCUGAGCCCGAACCCCCGAUGUGUCCCUAUCCCCACUCCCAAGACCCUCUACCCUCUCCAGGUGACAUAUUGUCCCCCAGUUACUCCACUGUCAGCUCCUCCCAGAGCUCACUGGACUCUGAACAUAGCAGCGCUACACCCACCUGGGAGGGCCGCCGCAGUAGUGUUGGUGGAGGGAGCAUUGCUAGUGUGAAUAGUGCAGUGGGUAGAGUGGGUCGUUCAGGCAGAGAGUAUGCGUCACUGUCAGAUGUGCCGUGGGCUCGCAGGCUGACCCACCGCGAAGCCUUUCAUUCAGAGAAAAAACGACAAGAGCUUAGAGAACGCACACGGAGUCCCGGAAGAGAAGAGGUGGCUCGGCUGUUUGGGGAAGAGCGAAGGCGUUCUCAAGUCAUUGACCGAUUUGAAGAGAGUCCAAAUGUAGAGCGCAUGUACACGGGCAGCUCCAGCGAGCUGUCAUCAAGUGUCAACAAUGCACAGCGACAAGGCCGCAGUGAGAGACGCUAUCUGGGCGCCAAACAUGAAAUGUCAUUGGACGCAGGAAAAGACCACUCAGUCCCGGAUGUGUCCAGCUCGACUUUUGCAAACAUAAGGAGGGCCAAGUCGCUUGACCGCAGAGUCACAGAGUCUUCAAUGACUCCAGAUCUGCUGAACUUCAAAAAGGGAUGGAUGACCAAGCUGUAUGAAGAUGGAAUGUGGAAGAAGCACUGGUUUGUCCUAACAGAUCAGAGUCUGAGGUACUACAAGGACUCAAUAGCUGAGGAGGCUUCCCAACUGGACGGUGAGAUUGAUCUGUCGACAAGUUACGAUGUCAAGGAGUUUCCCGUCCAGAGAAAUUAUGGCUUCCAAAUUCUGUGUAAAGAAGGAGCGUGCACCUUGUCAGCCAUGACCUCCGGAAUCCGUCGCAACUGGAUUCAGGCCAUCAUGAAGAAUGCUCGACCCGCCAUUGCCCCCGAUGUCACUCGGAAAAACAUCUCACUGAAACUAUCCGUACUGAAGCCCAGAUCUGUCCCUGAGGAGAACAUAAAAGCUCAGGUGCUGCUGGAGCCAUGUCCACAGGUCACACCUGAGCCAAGCCCCUGUCUUGAGCCCACCAAGACUGAUGACCACAGACAGCCAAUAGAGAAUCGUGUCUCCAAUCCGCCCCUUGAGCCCCGGAAAAGCAGGGUCCGCGAGCGCCGACGGGAAGGCCGUUCAAAAACUUUUGACUGGUCUGAGUUCAAAACUGAAAAAACAGACAAGCUUAUGAAGGAGCGAGCAGACACAGUUGACCUCAGUUCAUCCCUUUCCACAACCACCUCCUGCUGCUCCAUUUCCUCUUCUCCGUCAUCGUCCUCUCCCCUGUCUACCUCGGCCCUUCAAUCCUCCUGUGUAUCAGACACUCUCCCCCCCUCGACAAUAGUACAUUCAGAAAAGAAUAACGUUAUGAGGGGCCCAGUCAGCACAUACCACCGGCCAAAUACUGUACCUGUCACUUCCACGUUGAACACAUCAUCACCAGUGGAACCGCCCAGACCUGAACGUCCAGCGCAAGGAAGGAUGGAGGUUGACCACCCUACAGCCCUGCACAAUGUUGAGGAAGAAAAGUUCACCGAAACCUUGGGUGUGCAGGAAGAAAUCGAACACAGAUGGCAUCAGGUUGAAAAAACGCCACUAAGGGAGGAGAAGCAAGUGCCUAUCACCACUGCUUCAGGGAACCCAGACAGAUUACCUCCACAUGAGCUUGCUGCAUUGCUAGACAAAGAGCUGGGACAGAAACAGAAAGAGCUGGACCAGCUGCACAGACAGAACAGUAUUUUAAAAGAGCAGCUGGAAAAUGCACUAGGAAGAGAACAGAGUGCCAGAGAUGGCUACAUCUUGCAGAGCGCAACACCCCCUUCCUCCUCGCCACGUAGAAUGCCAUGGCAACACUUGCACCAGCUCAAGCAAGACUUGCAGGGUGAAUUAGAGUCCCAGAAGCGCAAGCAGGACCUCACUCAGCAGCAGUUUCAGGUGUUAAAGAGAAGCUACACUGAAGCCCAAGAUGUAGUAGACCACCAUGAUGCUGACAUCCAAGCCCUUCAAGCGAAGCUAGCAUCUGCACUAGCUGAAAUCUUGGCAAGUGAACAAGCUGUGGCUCGAAUGCGCAAUGAACUCAAGCUGGAACAAGAGCGUUCAAAGGAACAAGACGAGGAACACGGGCGCAGCGAGGCCACCUUACGAGCUCAGCUAAAGGACAGUGAAGAAAGACUGCGUGAGGUUGAGGCCAGCCUUUUAGAGCGAAACCAGGCCCUCAGGCAUCUCGAGCACCAGCAGGCCCUGCAGCGAGACCACACCAGAGAGAUACAGAGGUUACAGGACCGACUACAAGAGGUGACUGCACGGCUUGUUGCAACAGAGGAAGGCCAGGCGCUUAAAGAAGAACGCCUGAGAAAGGAGCAGCAUUGCAUUCAAGAAAGUCACGAGAGGGAAAAACAAAAUCUUUGUAAGAGAAUAGCCGAAGCUGAAAUAGCACAUAAAUGCAUGGAGGACAGGCUACUAGAGGCCGAACAGCAGGUGGAGGCCUUGCUAAAAGGGCGGCAGGCCUCAGCAGGAGGAGAACACAUGGAGGAAAUGCUAAAGUUGCAAGAGAAUCUUGCGCAGAAGACCAGCAUGGUAGAGUCACUGAAAGAGAGCGUACGCAGGCUCGAAGAAGAGAGAGGUCUGCUCACAUGCAGAUGUCAGGAGCUUCUUAACCAGAUUGCAGAGGCAGACCGAGAGGUCAACAAGCUUCACAAUCGCCUCAAAACGGAGGAGGCAGAUUACUGCUCUCUGGAGAACUCUUAUGAGAGGGCCACCCAAGAGUUUCAGAGAAUGAGCCAAUUCCUCAGAGAGAAAGAGGAAGAGAUUCGGCAGACGAAAGAAAUGUAUGAAAGGCUGAUGGAACGUAAAGAGGAGGACUUAAGAGAGGCUCUUGUUAAAAUGACUGUACUUGGCAACAGUUUAGAAGAAACUGAACAGAAGCUUCAAGCAAAGGAGGACCUUCUUUGUCAAAUGAGUCAAAGUCUGAUAGAGAAAGUUGAGCCAAGGGAUGCUGAACAAGAUCUUAAAAUCAAGCUUGGGGUCGCAGAGGACCGCGUAAUCGAGCUUGAGCAGCACCUCAAUGACUUGCAGCUGGGAUAUGAUAAUUUACACCUCGGGAAGAAACAAGUCCAAGAACAGAACAAACGGGAACAUGUAUUUUCUUCAAACAAUGCAACUAAUAUAGAUAACUCAACCGAUGACAUCUCACAGGCUAAGAGGCCAAGAAUUCGUUGUUCUAAUAUCCAAUGUCAAAAAUAUGACAACUUAGAUGACCCAGAUGAUUGCCAUUUGAGCGAUGCAUUUGAAGAUAAAAGACAAGUGGACAACCAGGAAAACUUUGAUCUAGCUGAAGCCCUUUCCUACCCAGGUACCCCGUUCCCACAUGCCAGUGACUCUGAGAAGUUCAUUGCUAUUGUGCAUGCCCUAGAAACUAAGCUGCUCACUACUGAGGAAAAACUGAGAAAUCUAACUAGGACUCUACAGGAGCAACGUUCCACUCAUGUUGAUGUGUCCAAGAAAGAUUUUAAAAUGGUUGAAAACAAGCCUUACUCAGAUAAAAAUGUUAUGUGUGCCAGUGGACCUUCUCUCAAUAAUCCUUAUGUAAAGGCCUUGCAUUGUGUGGAAACAAGUCGAGAGAAAGUCAAGGCUAUUCUGUCUGGCACUCACGAUACCACUGAUUCGCAGCUUCACUCUCUGACAGAGGUUGAAAACGAGCUGUUCAGUGCAUCAAUGUAUAUCCGCCAUGCACAAAAGACCUUGGAUGAACAAUCGCCUGCUCUCCCUCAAACGUCAGAAUCCUUAGAUAAAGAAGCAAUUAAUCUCUUUGCCAAAACACUUUCUUUUGAGGCACUUGUUUUAAAUAAAAUGGCUUUGCUGGUACAGUCCUCAGAGUCUGAUCUUCUACAAACGCUGACAGCGAUAUGGAAGGACAUAGAGAACAUUAAAAGUGGUGACAAAGAUUGCUUAGCUAUAGUUUAUGCAGAUGUUUUGACUAGGAAGUUAAUGUUGGAGAAUGCAUUUUGGAAGGAACUAGAGAAUGAGGUGACACCAUGUGAGGGGUUGAAUGUUGCCAAAUCUCAGGAGGCCAGUGUUGCAGCUGAUGCAGACAUAAACACAUCAGCUAUAUUCAAUACUUUAAUCAAAGCAGAACUGUCUUACUCUAUUCAAAACCUUAAGCUUUGCUAUGACGAGAAAUUCAGGCUACUUAAAGGGGAGCUGACUGAAGCUAAUCACAAUCUAUAUCAAAGGGAAAUGGCAUUGAAGACAAUUAUUGAAGCCUCUAAAAGGUCUGAUUUGAAAAAUGUAAUCAAAGAAGUUAAAAGCAACUUUGGCCUUGGUAAACAAAAGUUAGCUGAUAUGCACCCACCUGAACUUGCUCCAUACAAAGAGCAGAUCAAACAGCAAGACGCCCGUGAGCUCGCUGAAGAGAUUAUAGAGCGACAUUUAGCCGAGCAGGUGCCAUCUUGUAGUGUUGACUCCAUUCAGUCUCUGCAUGACACACAUGACUGUUUGGCUACUGAGCUUCAACAACAAGCAGCAAAGCUCUACACCUAUGCACAGGAAAUACAAAGCAGUGGCAACCAUCCUGAAUUAGCUAAAAUGGUCAAUGCACUUUUAGGGCCUCAAACAUCUCAUGUUUUUACUAGUACCUCUCUUUGUAUGCGAGAAGCCCUCAUCCAGGCUCAGGUGGCUUAUGUGGCGUGCAGAUUACGCUCCAUGCAUGAACGAAACGUGAGUUGGUGUAAACAGACACAUCAGAACAUGGAUGCCCUCGUGCAGCAGCAUGCCUGCAGCAUCAGGGCAAUCCACGAGAAGUACGAAACAUCCUUUCAGGAGGAGCGCCACAAAAUCUCUCGAACACUGGCCAUUCUUCAGAAGGAAAACAUAACUCUCAAGUGUGAAGUCAGUCAACGUUCCAACCAACUCUCACAACAACAAGAGCAGCUGGUGCUCCUGGAAGAACAUUUCAAGAUGCAAACUGAGGAGCUCAAGCGGAAGCACAAGCAAGAGCUAAACCUAGCUGAGAAAGACCGGGCAUCAACAGAGCUGGCCUUUGUAGAGACCUCAGUAGACAGCCAGCAGAAGCUGAAAGAUCUGCUAUCGGACAUGGACGCCAUGAAGCAGCAGCACCAGAGUCAUGUGAGAAAGCUAGAGGAACAAUUUGAGCAGAGAAUCUCUGAGCUUGAGCACAUCUACAAAGAGGAGAUUUUAAAACUGCAUUUCCAGCUUGAGGACAAAAUUUGCAAUGUCCAAGAAGUGGACGAGAAAGACCCUGUGGUUUCUCACCAACCCUCUUUUGAGGCUUCAGCGCCAAUGGAAGAAGAGGAACAAGGGCAGGAGGGAGGUGCAUGCGCCAUGUCAGAGGUGGACACUAUGGGGCUUCUGAAAGACAGGAUUCAAGAACUGGAAACUCAGAUGAUCAGCAUGAGGGAUGAACUGGAAAUCAAGCACCUGGAAGGAGAUGUGGCCAGCCUGAGGGAGAAAUACCAGAGAGACUUUGAAAGUCUUAAGGCCACGUGUGAGCGUGGCUUCGCAGCAAUGGAAGAAACCCACCAGAAAGUGGUCGACGACCUCCAGAGGCAGCAUCAGAGGGAGAUUUCUAAACUCAUGGAAGAGCGAGAGAGGCUCCUAGCGGAGGAGACUGCUGCCACUAUUGCAGCCAUUGAAGCUAUGAAGAAUGCACACAAGGAGGAGCUAGAGAAGACCCAGCGCUCCCAGAUCAGUGGACUGAACUCUGAUAUUGAUGAACUGCGAUUACAAUAUGAAGAAGAGCUGCAGUCCAUCCAGAGGGAGCUGGAGGUUCUGUCUGAACAGUAUUCUCAGAAAUGUCUGGAGAACGCCCAUCUGGCUCAGGCCCUGGAGGCUGAAAGACAGGCACUCAGGCAGUGUCAAAGAGAGAACCAGGAGCUCAACGCUCACAACCAGGAAUUGAAUAACCGCCUGUCUGCAGAGAUCACGCGCAUGCGCUCUUGUUUCAGUGGUGAGACAGCACUGUCGCCGGUCACGCAGGGCAAAGAUGUGUAUGAACUGGAGGUGCUGCUUCGAAUCAAGGAGUCAGAGAUACAAUACCUUAAACAGGAAAUCCACUCUUUGAAGGACGAACUGCAGACUGCUCUGAGGGACAAGAAGUACACUACAGACAAAUACAAAGACAUCUACACAGAGCUGAGCAUUGUGAAAGCAAAGGCUGACUGUGAUAUUGGCAAGCUGAAGGAGAAGCUUCUCGUUGCCACCGAAGCGUUAGGCGAGAGGACCGUUGAUGGGACAGUCACAUCUGGAUAUGAUAUCAUGAAAUCCAAAAGUAACCCUGACUUCAUCAAAAAGGAAAAAUCAACUCCCCCCAAGUCAUCCAGAGGCCUGAGGUCAAAGUCUGUCACUGAACAGGUCCCAUGGGACAGCUGACACUCCCCAUGUGGGGUUAAGCCCUCCCACAAAACCUGCCCAAGAUGCGCCGUAGAGUCUGAAAGAGGGACUGACGGUGCAGGAACGCAUGCGGCUGUUUGAGGAAAAGGAUUCCAAAAAGAUUCAAAUGUCAAGAGUCUGAAGCUUCUCUUUACCAGCUUUUUGUUUUUAUGGGGUUUGUUUUUUUCAUUUUUGCUAAGACUGUGCCAGCACUUGCUCAGACUCAUGGGAGUGAGAGGUCAGACUUUCUGCUUACAUGGAAAAAGUUUUUUGCAUGUUCAAAAAAGGUAUUUAAUAUUUCUAAAGUGGUGUGGAAUAAGCUGUGAGAGGGAUACAUGACAGCCUUUUUAAUCAUCUUCCCAAAUGCCAAAAUAGCUAAAACACAGUAUGAAUAAUAUAUAUCUAUAUAUUUCUUGAUAUUUGUCUGCUGUAUUUUAUAUUCUUAGUUCCUUCAGUAUAUCUGAAUGAUUUUAUUGUUUAGUGUACAUAACUACUGGACAUACAGUAUGUAAGAGCAUGUGUUUGUUGCGUGUUGGGGCAUCUGCUGUACUCUAGUUUGACUGAUGGUGGAAAUUGUAUUUUUAUUUUUCUUUCAUUAUUAAAAUAUGUCUGUGUGUUGAAAGGGGUGGGAUGGGGUGGGAGGUCAGUUGGUGGGAUUGCACUUACAACUUGACUACUUGAGGAACCUUUUUUUAUGUAUCCAAUCGGUGUUGUGAUUUUCUCUGAUCAUUAGAGUGCAACCAAAUAUGGUGACGCGUUUUGUGGCGUACUUUUUAUCCGGUUUCAUAUGUGUGACUUUCGUGCUUUGCAUGACUAAUACUGUCAUUUCAAUCGCAAAUCGCAGCACGUGGCCUCCUUUUCCUACUUUGUGACGCUUUCAGUGUGGAACCUUUAACCUUAAUAAGCUUUGCUUUUGCAAGUCCUACUGUUUUAACGUUACCUCGAAGCACUUGGCCCCCGCUUUAUUCUAGUUGUGCCUCAACCCAGUGAAGAACACCCAUUAAAAAACGUAAAUAAAAAAACUGUGCAGCUAUGGAAACACACUGUGUAGUAUUCAAAACCAUGCUUCAGAAAUGUACACAUACACAGUAUAUAUGCGCCACAUUGAACACUUCUUCCGUGUGUUCUUGUUUUCAACUUGCUCACUCGCUCUAUAUGAAAUAUACAAAUAUUUUUUUUUAUUUGAAUGUAUAACAUGAAAUAAAUCAAGCGUUUGGAAAAUA